Molecule: ribosomal RNA, 1702 nt
Filed under: Auchenipterus demerarae
Lineage: Eukaryota; Metazoa; Chordata; Actinopteri; Siluriformes; Auchenipteridae
Description: partial 16S ribosomal RNA
Rfam family: Bacterial large subunit ribosomal RNA (bases 85-1592)
Source: RNAcentral
GCCAAACAGCUAGCAUAAACCCCAGAAUAGUCAUAACAACAUUAAAACAACUCCACAAGACCAAAACAAGCAUAAUCAAAACAUUCUUCCGCCCAAGUAUGUGAGACAGAAAGGGCACAUUCCCCCAAAGCUUUAGUAAAAGUACCGCAAGGGAAAGCUGAAAGAGAAAUGAAACAAAUCAUUCAAGCACAACAAAGCAGAGACUAAAUCUCGUACCUUUUGCAUCAUGAUUUAGCCAACCCAACUGAGCAAAGAGAACUUUAGUUCAAAACCCCGAAACUAAGUGAGCUACCCGGGGACAGCCUAUUAAUUAGGGCCAACUCGUCUCUGUGGCAAAAGAGUGAGAAGAUCCCAAGGUAGAGGUGACAGACCUACCGAACUUAGUUAUAGCUGGUUGCCUAGGAAAUGAAUAGAAGUUCAGCCUCGUACUCCUCAACUCAACACCUUGCAAUACAAAAACGAGCCAGAGAAACACACGAGAGUUAGUCAUAGGGGGUACAGCCCCUAUGAAAUAGGAUACAACCUAAACAGGAGGUUACAGAUCAUAUUAACUAAGAUUUACCGCCCUAGUGGGCCUAAAAGCAGCCACCUCAAUAGAAAGCGUUAAAGCUCUAGCGGACUAAUAAAUCUAUUAUCCAGAUACAACACCUAAAACCCCUAAUUAUACUAGGCUAUCCCAUGCCCCCAUGGAAGAAAUACUGCUAAAAUGAGUAAUAAGAAGUUAUACUACUUCUCCAAGGCCCACGUGUAUGCCAGAUCGGACCAACCGCUGGUAAUUAUCGAACCCAACAAAAGAGGGUAUUAUGAAAACAUAAAACAACAAGAAAAAAUCAUAUAACCCAAUCGUUAACCUCACACUAGAGGGCCAUAUUAAAGGAAAGACUAAAAGAAAAGGAAGGAACUCGGCAAACUUAUGCCCCGCCUGUUUACCAAAAACAUCGCCUCCUGCAAAAAUCAAAGUAUAGGAGGUCUUGCCUGCCCAGUGACAAGUUAAACGGCCGCGGUAUUUUGACCGUGCGAAGGUACGGCAAUCACUUGUCUUUUAAAUGAAGACCUGUAUGAAUGGUGGAACGAGGGCUUAACUGUCUCCCCUUUCAAGUCAAUGAAAUUGAUCUGCCCGUGCAGAAGCGGGUAUAAAAUACAAGACGAGAAGACCCUUUGGAGCUUAAGAUACAAGAUCAACUAUGUCAAUACACCAAACCCCAAGUUAAACUAAAUAGCACCUGAUCCCUAUCUUCGGUUGGGGCGACCACGGAAGAAAAUAAAGCUUCCAUGCGGACUGGGGCUACCAUCAGCCCUAAAACCAAGAAAGACAUUUCCAAGCAACAGAACAUCUGACCAAAAAGAUCCGGCGACCUCCGCCGAUCAACGGACCAAGUUACCCUAGGGAUAACAGCGCAAUCCCCUUUCAGAGUCCAUAUCGACAAGGGGGUUUACGACCUCGAUGUUGGAUCAGGACAUCCUAAUGGUGCAGCAGCUAUUAAGGGUUCGUUUGUUCAACGAUUAAAGUCCUACGUGAUCUGAGUUCAGACCGGAGCAAUCCAGGUCAGUUUCUAUCUGUAAUUUAAAACUUCUUCCCAGUACGGAAGGACCGGAAAAAGAGGGCCCAUGUUAAAAACACGCCCUACCCCUACUUAAUGAAAACAACUAAAUUAAAUAAAGGGAGAAUACAACUCAAUAAAUCAAGAUAAGAUUAUUAAGA